RNAcentral lists this ribosomal RNA (1500 nucleotides) under Austrofundulus limnaeus. RNAcentral describes it as "bacterial LSU rRNA". It matches the Rfam family "Bacterial large subunit ribosomal RNA", at positions 379 to 2001 of the family's 2925-position model. The record is from RNAcentral. Lineage: Eukaryota; Metazoa; Chordata; Actinopteri; Cyprinodontiformes; Rivulidae.
GAAAAAUGUCGAUUGUGGAACUAGGCACGAAUAGAGUAGGGCGGGACACGUGAAAUCCUGUCUGAACAUGGGGGGACCAUCCUCCAAGGCUAAAUACUCGUAAUCGACCGAUAGUGAACAAGUACCGUGAGGGAAAGGCGAAAAGAACCCCGGGAGGGGAGUGAAAUAGAUCCUGAAACCGCAUGCAUACAAAAAGUAGGAGCCCGAAAGGGUGACUGCGUACCUUUUGUAUAAUGGGUCAGCGACUUACAUUCAGUGGCAAGGUUAACCGAAUAGGGAAGCCGUAGAGAAAUCGAGUCCGAAUAGGGCGUUCAGUCGCUGGGUGUAGACCCGAAACCAAGUGAUCUAUCCAUGGCCAGGAUGAAGGUACCGUAACAGGUGCUGGAGGUCCGAACCGACUAGUGUUGCAAAACUAGCGGAUGAGCUGUGGAUAGGGGUGAAAGGCUAAACAAACUUGGAAAUAGCUGGUUCUCUCCGAAAACUAUUUAGGUAGUGCCUCAAGUAUUACCAUCGGGGGUAGAGCACUGUUUAGGCUAGGGGGUCAUGGCGACUUACCAAACCUUGGCAAACUCCGAAUACCGAUGAGUACAGCUUGGGAGACAGAGCACCGGGUGCUAACGUCCGGACUCAAGAGGGAAACAACCCAGACCGCCAGCUAAGGUCCCUAAAAUUGGCUAAGUGGGAAACGAAGUGGGAAGGCUAAAACAGUCAGGAUGUUGGCUUAGAAGCAGCCAUCAUUUAAAGAAAGCGUAAUAGCUCACUGAUCGAGUCGUCCUGCGCGGAAGAUGUAACGGGGCUAAGCCAGUUACCGAAGCUGCGGAUUUGCACGCAAGUGCAAGUGGUAGGAGAGCGUUCUGUAAGCCUGUGAAGGUGGGUUGUGAAGCCUGCUGGAGGUAUCAGAAGUGCGAAUGCUGGCAUGAGUAACGACAAACACUGUGAAAGACAGUGUCGCCGAAAGUCCAAGGGUUCCUGCGUAAAGUUAAUCUUCGCAGGGUUAGCCGGUCCCUAAGGCGAGGCCGAAAGGCGUAGUCGAUGGGAAUGCAGUGAAUAUUCUGCAGCCAGUGGAUGGUGACGAAUCCCGUGUGUUGUCCGACCUUACUGGAUUGGUUGGGCCUCGAAGGGGUUCCAGGAAAUAGCCUCCACAUUAGACCGUACCCGAAACCGACACAGGUGGACUGGUAGAGUAUACCAAGGCGCUUGAGAGAACUAUGUUGAAGGAACUCGGCAAUUUACCUCCGUAACUUCGGGAUAAGGAGGACCUCUCAUCAGGCAACUUUUGAGGGGUGGCACAGACCAGGGGGUGGCGACUGUUUAACAAAAACACAGGGCUCUGCGAAAUCGCAAGAUGACGUAUAGGGUCUGACGCCUGCCCGGUGCCGGAAGGUUAAGAGGAGAGGUGCAAGCCUUGAAUCGAAGCCCCGGUAAACGGCGGCCGUAACAAUAACGGUCCUAAGGUAGCGAAAUUCCUUGUCGGGUAAGUUCCGACCUGCACGAAUGGCG